AGAGUUUGAUCCUGGCUCAGGAUGAACGCUAGCUACAGGCUUAACACAUGCAAGUCGAGGGGAAACGACAUCGAAAGCUUGCUUUUGGUGGGCGUCGACCGGCGCACGGGUGAGUAACGCGUAUCCAACCUGCCCACCACUUGGGGAUAACCUUGCGAAAGUAAGACUAAUACCCAAUGAUAUCUCUAGAAGACAUCUGAAAGAGAUUAAAGAUUUAUCGGUGAUGGAUGGGGAUGCGUCUGAUUAGCUUGUUGGCGGGGUAACGGCCCACCAAGGCAACGAUCAGUAGGGGUUCUGAGAGGAAGGUCCCCCACAUUGGAACUGAGACACGGUCCAAACUCCUACGGGAGGCAGCAGUGAGGAAUAUUGGUCAAUGGACGAGAGUCUGAACCAGCCAAGUAGCGUGCAGGAUGACGGCCCUAUGGGUUGUAAACUGCUUUUAUAAGGGAAUAAAGUGAGUCUCGUGAGACUUUUUGCAUGUACCUUAUGAAUAAGGACCGGCUAAUUCCGUGCCAGCAGCCGCGGUAAUACGGAAGGUCCGGGCGUUAUCCGGAUUUAUUGGGUUUAAAGGGAGCGUAGGCCGGAGAUUAAGCGUGUUGUGAAAUGUAGAUGCUCAACAUCUGCACUGCAGCGCGAACUGGUUUCCUUGAGUACGCACAAAGUGGGCGGAAUUCGUGGUGUAGCGGUGAAAUGCUUAGAUAUCACGAAGAACUCCGAUUGCGAAGGCAGCUCACUGGAGCGCAACUGACGCUGAAGCUCGAAAGUGCGGGUAUCGAACAGGAUUAGAUACCCUGGUAGUCCGCACGGUAAACGAUGG
Molecule: ribosomal RNA, 817 nt
Filed under: uncultured bacterium
Lineage: Bacteria
Description: bacterial SSU rRNA
Rfam family: Bacterial small subunit ribosomal RNA
Source: RNAcentral